RNAcentral lists this ribosomal RNA (495 nucleotides) under uncultured bacterium. RNAcentral's name for it is "partial 16S ribosomal RNA". It matches the Rfam family "Bacterial small subunit ribosomal RNA", at positions 28 to 507 of the family's 1533-position model. The record is from RNAcentral.
GACGAACGCUGGCGGCGUGCCUAAUACAUGCAAGUAGAACGCUGAAGGAGGAGCUUGCUCUUCUGGAUGAGUUGCGAACGGGUGAGUAACGCGUAGGUAACCUGCCUGGUAGCGGGGGAUAACUAUUGGAAACGAUAGCUAGUACCGCAUAAGAGUAGAUGUUGCAUGACAUUUACUUAAAAGGUGCAAUUGCAUCACUACCAGAUGGACCUGCGUUGUAUUAGCUAGUUGGUGGGGCAACGGCUUACCAAGGCGACGAUACAUAGCCGACCUGAGAGGGGGAUCGGCCACACUGGGACUGAGACACGGCUCAGACUCCUACGGGAGGCAGCAGUAGGGAAUCUUCGGCAAUGGACGGAAGUCUGACCGAGCAACGCCGCGUGAGUGAAGAAGGUUUUCGGAUCGUAAAGCUCUGUUGUAAGAGAAGAACGAGUGUGAGAGUGGAAAGUUCACACUGUGACGGUAUCUUACCAGAAAGGGACGGCUAACUACGUG